CAGCCGCCGCGGGAAAACGGAGGGUGCAAGCGUUAAUCGGAAUUACUGGGCGUAAAGCGCACGCAGGCGGUCUGACAAGUCAGAUGUGAAAUCCCCGGGCUUAACCUGGGAACUGCAUUUGAAACUGUCAGGCUGGAGUCUUGUAGAGGGGGGUAGAAUUCCAGGUGUAGCGGUGAAAUGCGUAGAGAUCUGGAGGAAUACCGGUGGCGAAGGCGGCCCCCUGGACAAAGACUGACGCUCAGGUGCGAAAGCGUGGGGAGCAAACAGGAUUAGAUACCCCGGUAGUCCCUGUCUCUUAUAC
Molecule: ribosomal RNA, 301 nt
Filed under: uncultured bacterium
Lineage: Bacteria
Description: partial 16S ribosomal RNA
Rfam family: Bacterial small subunit ribosomal RNA
Source: RNAcentral